This 73-nucleotide transfer RNA is filed under the name Vicugna pacos (alpaca). RNAcentral's name for it is "tRNA-Ala (AGC) (tRNA-Ala-AGC-578-1)". It matches the Rfam family "tRNA". Rfam says of the family: Transfer RNA (tRNA) molecules are approximately 80 nucleotides in length. Their secondary structure includes four short double-helical elements and three loops (D, anti-codon, and T loops). Further hydrogen bonds mediate the characteristic L-shaped molecular structure. tRNAs have two regions of fundamental functional importance: the anti-codon, which is responsible for specific mRNA codon recognition, and the 3' end, to which the tRNAs corresponding amino acid is attached (by aminoacyl-tRNA synthetases). tRNAs cope with the degeneracy of the genetic code in two manners: having more than one tRNA (with a specific anti-codon) for a particular amino acid; and 'wobble' base-pairing, i.e. permitting non-standard base-pairing at the 3rd anti-codon position. The record is from RNAcentral. Lineage: Eukaryota; Metazoa; Chordata; Mammalia; Artiodactyla; Camelidae.
GGAGGGUAUAGCUCAGGGGUAGAGUGCGUGCUUAGCAUGCAUGAGGUCCUGGGUUCAAUCCCCAGUGCCUCCA